This 1446-nucleotide long non-coding RNA is filed under the name Amborella trichopoda. RNAcentral's name for it is "long non-coding RNA (ATRI_LNC000262)". Lineage: Eukaryota; Viridiplantae; Streptophyta; Magnoliopsida; Amborellales; Amborellaceae. The record is from RNAcentral.
GUCGUCUAUCAUUUUAUUUUUAGAUCAUAUGUUACUAAUUUUAUGUUUUAUUGUAGUCCAUAUAUGUUGAUAUACUUAUUCCAUGAUAAUUCUAUGUUUAUCCUUUUGUGUGAUAUAAAUUAAAUGUUGAAUGACGGUUCAUGCAAGGAAAGAACAUAUCAAUAUUCGCAUAUUCAUUCAAAAACAUGAAAAUUUUUAAUGGAGUACCCUCAUUUCUUAUUGAAUUCCUAAAAAAAAAGUAUUUAUAAUGAAUUUUAAUAAUUUGUUCGAAUUUUUUUAAAGCUUUAUUUUGACUGAUUCACUCGAUUUUCGAUCCGAAUCAUCGAUUCGUCGAUUCGAAUCGGUUUUUUGGAUACCCAAUCCAGGUCACCGACCCGUUUUUUAAUCCAUUGGGUGAGACAAUACAAAAGGUGAGAGAAACAACUUUACCUAUAGAAAGGGUAUAGAGACAGGUCAAGUCAACAACUAAUAAAAUAUAUUAAACAUAAAAAGUUGGUGACAGCUAGCAUUAGGCCAUACUUUUCCAAUGGAAAAAUUGUGCCUAAAGCAUAGGAAUGAGAAAAAUCGAUAUCAGAGAAUGAAAACAAAGCAGUAACAGAGCAUGGAGAAUAGAGUGCAGCAGAAGGAACAAAAAAAAAGAAACAACAAAGAGCAGAUAGACAGAGAAAUUAACAGAGAGAAGAGAGGUUGACCUUGGGCAUACGCAAUAAUCAGCAAGAUUGCUCCAUUCAGCUUUCUGAGUCAAAACUCAAAACGGUAUUUGAUUGUCGAACAAAUCACAUAUUUAUCAAGAAAUUGAAGGCAAAGGGCAGAUUCGUGAUUCAGUGUUUUUUAGAGCCAAAACAAAAAAACGGAUGCGAGAGAAAAUAGAGAAAAGACUGAAACAGAGAUUAUGGGGGUAGAUAUGUAGAGAGAGAAAAGCGGAGGAGCAAGAGAGAUGAGAGAGAAAACAGAGAAAAUGCCGAGAGAGAUUUGGUGGUAGAUAUUUGAGAGCAGAGAGAUGUGAGAGAGAUUAGAGGAAGACUGAGAGAGAGAACAAAGAGAUCGGGAGCAAGAGGUUAGAAAAGUUUGAGAGAUAUUGGGAGAGAGAUCGAGAGAGAAGAGUAAAGAGAUCAAGAGAGAAGAGCACCAAUGGCAGAGGAGACUAGAGAUCGAGAGAGAAGAGUACCGGUCUUAGAGAGACUAGAGAAAAAGCAUAUCACCAAUGGCAAAGACUUAUGGGCCAAGGUGCUUACAUAGAGAAGCAUUGAAGAGAAACCAGAGAGUCGAAGAGAAACCAGAGAGACUGAUAUUAGAAAAUUUUGCUUUGAUACCACAAGAAAUAAUAUUGGAUUGUAAUUCUAUUGAUGAAUAAGAUUACAAUAUAAUUGUGUAUUUAUAGAGAUGGUACAAUCAAUACUUAUUAAAACUAUAGGAUACAGUUUUUAUAUAGGUAUUUUAUUCAAU